AAAUUAUGCUCCAUUGGCCUUUUGUGUUUUCUACCCACAUUUACCUCCGUGACGGUGAGAUAUCGUGAUGUCUUUACUGGACUAGUGUAGCUCAUUCCUUAUUUAAUCAUUUCAGAUCAAGAGGACAUCGUUCCCGAGCCAGUUUCGCAGGAGGACGACGAAGGGGACGCCUAAAGACUCCAUAGUUACAUUCGUAGCUUUUACUUUCAAGUUUCUUCUUUAUGUAGUUUGAUCUUUUAUAUUUUGUGAGCACGUUUUUGGUUUUAGUGUAAGGGAUGUUAUUCAAAUUUUGACUUCGCUUCCGCAUUUGAUAUUUUUAAUAUACAUUUCAUUAUGAAUUUCUGGGGAUG
This 350-nucleotide long non-coding RNA is filed under the name Carica papaya (papaya). RNAcentral describes it as "long non-coding RNA (CPAP_LNC005179)". The record is from RNAcentral. Lineage: Eukaryota; Viridiplantae; Streptophyta; Magnoliopsida; Brassicales; Caricaceae.